CAGGGCGUCCCAGAGGGUGAGAUUUCUUUUGUUUUUUUUUCUUCGAUUCCAUGUGAAGCCCUUUCGACGAGUCGAGUUGUUUGGGAAUGCAGCUCUAAAUGGGUGGUAAAUUUCAUCUAAAGCUAAAUAUCUGCCAGAGACCGAUAGCGCACAAGUAGAGUGAUCGAAAGAUGAAAAGCACUUUGAAAAGAGAGUCAAACAGUACGUGAAAUUGUUGAAUUUUUUUGUGGCAAUCAGACUCGUUUGCGGAAGCUCAGCCUUCCUCCGGGUUGGUGUAUUCUUCUGUCAUCGGGCCAGCAUCAGUUUCGACGGCUGGAUAAAGGUUUCGGGAAUGUAGCUCCUUUCGAAGAGUGUUAUAGCCCGGGGUACAAUGCGAUCGCCGGGCCGAGGACCGCG
Molecule: ribosomal RNA, 396 nt
Filed under: Graphis scripta
Lineage: Eukaryota; Fungi; Ascomycota; Lecanoromycetes; Ostropales; Graphidaceae
Description: partial large subunit ribosomal RNA
Rfam family: Eukaryotic large subunit ribosomal RNA
Source: RNAcentral